AGAAAUAUGACGUGGCUCGCCAGAUGCCACAGUGUAAUUUAAAAUCUAUUUUUUAAAAUCCAUGUCAUUUUUUUAUUCUCUUUUUUUAAUCCAUGUCAUUCUUUUAUAGAAAUCCAUCUUGGAAAUUAAACUUACAUACACUCUAAUAAUAAAUAAAAUGAAUGAAUAAAUAAACUUAAUCAAGGCGAGGAGCCCUACCCAAUUCUAAUUCCAAUUCCACCAGCAGCGCCGCGCACCGCCGCGCCUGAUGAGCCGGAGCCAGAGGAAGCUCCUCCUCUUAUUCCUGAAAUCUGAUGAGCCGGAGCCAGAGGAAGCUCCUCCUCUUCUUCCUGAAAUGCGUAAUCAUGGAAAUCGAGAUGUCUCUCUUCCUCUUCUACCUAGGGUUCGCCGCCAUCGUGCUCUUCCACUUCCUCUUCAUGUCCAACACCUUCAGCCGCCGCUGCACCCGCCUCCUCCACCCCGCCCCCGCCGAGGCGGAUCCCGAGCCGGACUUCAAGGCGCUUCUCCCUGGCGUCGCGUAUUGCCUCGUCGACUUGCCGUAGGCGUCGGACUGCGCGAUUUGCUUGGAUUAGCCCGAGUCGCCUUCUGCCUCUCUCUUCGUCCCAGUUCCCUCUCUAAUUCCUCACUGGAAACACACAAUUGAAGGGAAAAUGUCGAGCCCUAGCUCAUUCGUCUGAAAUUGUCGGUCACCGCCCCGGGCUUGACGCUGCCGCGCCUCCCUUGGCCGGAGAUCGCAGCACCACUAAAGUCCUCCCUCUGCUCAUGGAUCGAGCCCUAGCCUUUCGAUUCAGGUCAACAUCGACUCUGCUCUCUCUUCUCUUCUGUUCUAGAUUUCCGCCGCCGC
RNAcentral lists this long non-coding RNA (844 nucleotides) under Salvia miltiorrhiza (redroot sage). RNAcentral describes it as "long non-coding RNA (SMIL_LNC006296)". Lineage: Eukaryota; Viridiplantae; Streptophyta; Magnoliopsida; Lamiales; Lamiaceae. The record is from RNAcentral.